GAUGAACGCUGGCGGCGUGCCUAAUACAUGCAAGUCGAGCGAACAGACGAGGAGCUUGCUCCUCUGACGUUAGCGGCGGACGGGCGAGUAACACGUGGAUAACCUACCUAUAAGACUGGGAUAACUUCGGGAAACCGGAGCUAAUACCGGAUAAUAUAUCGAACCGCAUGGUUCAAUAGUUAAACACGGUUUUGCUGUCACUUAUAGAUGGAUCCGCGCCGCAUUAGCUAGUUGGUAAGGUAACGGCUCACCAAGGCAACGAUGCGUAGCCGACCUGAGAGGAUGAUCGGCCACACUGGAACUGAGACACGGUCCAGACUCCUACGGGAGGCAGCAGUGGGGAAUAUUGGACAAUGGGCGAAAGCCUGAUCGAGCCAUACCGCGUGAGUGAAGAAGGCCUUCGGGUUGUAAAGCUCUUUUGUUGGGAAAGAAAAGCUGUAGAUUAAUACCCCGCUGUUUUGACGGUACCCAAAGAAAAAGCCCCGGCUAACUUCGUG
This 497-nucleotide ribosomal RNA is filed under the name uncultured bacterium. RNAcentral's name for it is "partial 16S ribosomal RNA". It matches the Rfam family "Bacterial small subunit ribosomal RNA", at positions 28 to 507 of the family's 1533-position model. The record is from RNAcentral.